This 1513-nucleotide ribosomal RNA is filed under the name Klebsiella aerogenes. Its description in RNAcentral is "bacterial LSU rRNA". It matches the Rfam family "Bacterial large subunit ribosomal RNA", at positions 1 to 1551 of the family's 2925-position model. The record is from RNAcentral. Lineage: Bacteria; Pseudomonadati; Pseudomonadota; Gammaproteobacteria; Enterobacterales; Enterobacteriaceae.
GGGUUGUGAGGUUAAGCGACUAAGCGUACACGGUGGAUGCCCUGGCAGUCAGAGGCGAUGAAGGACGUGCUAAUCUGCGAAAAGCGUCGGUAAGGUGAUAUGAACCGUUACAGCCGGCGAUGUCCGAAUGGGGAAACCCAGUGUGAUUCGUCACACUAUCGUUAACUGAAUACAUAGGUUAACGAGGCGAACCGGGGGAACUGAAACAUCUAAGUACCCCGAGGAAAAGAAAUCAACCGAGAUUCCCCCAGUAGCGGCGAGCGAACGGGGAGCAGCCCAGAGUCUGAAUCAGCUUGUGUGUUAGUGGAACGGUCUGGAAAGUCCGACGGUACAGGGUGAUAGUCCCGUACACCAAAAUGCACAGGCUGUGAACUCGAAGAGUAGGGCGGGACACGUGGUAUCCUGUCUGAAUAUGGGGGGACCAUCCUCCAAGGCUAAAUACUCCUGACUGACCGAUAGUGAACCAGUACCGUGAGGGAAAGGCGAAAAGAACCCCGGCGAGGGGAGUGAAAAAGAACCUGAAACCGUGUACGUACAAGCAGUGGGAGCACCUUCGGGUGUGACUGCGUACCUUUUGUAUAAUGGGUCAGCGACUUAUAUUCUGUAGCAAGGUUAACCGUAUAGGGGAGCCGCAGGGAAACCGAGUCUUAACUGGGCGUUAAGUUGCAGGGUAUAGACCCGAAACCCGGUGAUCUAGCCAUGGGCAGGUUGAAGGUUGGGUAACACUAACUGGAGGACCGAACCGACUAAUGUUGAAAAAUUAGCGGAUGACUUGUGGCUGGGGGUGAAAGGCCAAUCAAACCGGGAGAUAGCUGGUUCUCCCCGAAAGCUAUUUAGGUAGCGCCUCGUGAAUUCAUCUUCGGGGGUAGAGCACUGUUUCGGCUAGGGGGUCAUCCCGACUUACCAACCCGAUGCAAACUACGAAUACCGAAGAAUGUUAUCACGGGAGACACACGGCGGGUGCUAACGUCCGUCGUGAAGAGGGAAACAACCCAGACCGCCAGCUAAGGUCCCAAAGUCACAGUUAAGUGGGAAACGAUGUGGGAAGGCACAGACAGCCAGGAUGUUGGCUUAGAAGCAGCCAUCAUUUAAAGAAAGCGUAAUAGCUCACUGGUCGAGUCGGCCUGCGCGGAAGAUGUAACGGGGCUAAACUGUGCACCGAAGCUGCGGCAGCGACACUAUGUGUUGUUGGGUAGGGGAGCGUUCUGUAAGCCUGCGAAGGUGGCCUGUGAGGGUUGCUGGAGGUAUCAGAAGUGCGAAUGCUGACAUAAGUAACGAUAAUGCGGGUGAAAAGCCCGCACGCCGGAAGACCAAGGGUUCCUGUCCAACGUUAAUCGGGGCAGGGUGAGUCGACCCCUAAGGCGAGGCCGAAAGGCGUAGUCGAUGGGAAACAGGUUAAUAUUCCUGUACUUGGUGUUACUGCGAAGGGGGGACGGAGAAGGCUAUGUUAGCCGGGCGACGGUUGUCCCGGUUUAAGCAUGUAGGCGGAGGUUCCAGGUAAAUCCGGUACCUU